CCUAGGCAGAGCAGGCCCUAGCAAUACAACAAUGAAAGAUGCAGUUCUUGAUCUCUGCAUAAAGGAGACAGAUAAUUACUUAUGAUCAGUGUUAUUAUAAAGACAUAGUCAAAGUGCUAAGAAUAUGAUAGAGAAGAGCAGAUUUGAUUUUGUGUGGUCAGGUUGUCAAGGAGGGCUCCUCAGAGUAGUCAUUUGUGUAAGCUGAACCUUAGUAGGAUCUAGUGUUAAGCAUUUGCGUUAGAGAGAAUACUGACUGGCUAGACCAGGGGACAAACAUGAGCAUAAUCCCAGAGGUGUGGAAGAAGUGGUAUAUUUCAGCAAUUC
This 324-nucleotide long non-coding RNA is filed under the name Homo sapiens (human). RNAcentral's name for it is "HSALNT0031811". The record is from RNAcentral. Lineage: Eukaryota; Metazoa; Chordata; Mammalia; Primates; Hominidae.